CGGAGGAUCCAAGCGUUAUCCGGAAUCAUUGGGUUUAAAGGGUCCGUAGGCGGUUUAGUAAGUCAGUGGUGAAAGCCCAUCGCUCAACGGUGGAACGGCCAUUGAUACUGCUAGACUUGAAUUAUUAGGAAGUAACUAGAAUAUGUAGUGUAGCGGUGAAAUGCUUAGAGAUUACAUGGAAUACCAAUUGCGAAGGCAGGUUACUACUAAUGGAUUGACGCUGAUGGACGAAAGCGUGGUAGCGAACAGGAUU
RNAcentral lists this ribosomal RNA (253 nucleotides) under uncultured bacterium. RNAcentral describes it as "partial 16S ribosomal RNA". It matches the Rfam family "Bacterial small subunit ribosomal RNA", at positions 526 to 779 of the family's 1533-position model. The record is from RNAcentral.